Camelus ferus (Wild Bactrian camel) is the source of this 72-nucleotide transfer RNA. It matches the Rfam family "tRNA". From Rfam's summary of the family: Transfer RNA (tRNA) molecules are approximately 80 nucleotides in length. The record is from Rfam. Lineage: Eukaryota; Metazoa; Chordata; Mammalia; Artiodactyla; Camelidae.
GUGGGUAUAGCUCAGUGGUAGUGCACAUGCCUUGCAAGCCCAGGGUCCUGGGUUCAAUUCCCAGUACCUCCA